RNAcentral lists this unclassified non-coding RNA (339 nucleotides) under soil metagenome. Its description in RNAcentral is "partial contains 5.8S ribosomal RNA, internal transcribed spacer 2, and large subunit ribosomal RNA". The stretch from base 1 to 119 matches the Rfam family "5.8S ribosomal RNA", at positions 35 to 154 of the family's 154-position model. The record is from RNAcentral.
GAUGAAGAACGCAGCGAAAUGCGAUACGUAAUGUGAAUUGCAAAUUCAGUGAAUCAUCGAGUCUUUGAACGCACAUUGCGCCCCCUGGUAUUCCGGAGGGCAUGCCUGUUCGAGCGUCAUUGUCAACCCUCAAGCUCGGCUUGCUGUUGGGUCCCCCGCCGUUGCUUCAACGGCGGACCCGAAAGAUAGUGGCAGAGUCCGUGAGACCCUGGAUGCAGCGAGCUUCUAGCACGCGUCUAGGCGGUCUUCGGGCUUGGUCUUAACCAAUUGUCAACUUCUGAUUGACCUCGGAUCAGGUAGGGAUACCCGCUGAACUUAAGCAUAUCAAUAAGCGGAGGA